This 542-nucleotide ribosomal RNA is filed under the name uncultured bacterium. RNAcentral's name for it is "partial 16S ribosomal RNA". It matches the Rfam family "Bacterial small subunit ribosomal RNA", at positions 355 to 887 of the family's 1533-position model. The record is from RNAcentral.
UGGGGAAUAUUGCACAAUGGGCGCAAGCCUGAUGCAGCCAUGCCGCGUGUGUGAAGAAGGCCUUCGGGUUGUAAAGCACUUUCAGCGAGGAGGAAGGUGGUGGACUUAAUACGUUCAUCAAUUGACGUUACUCGCAGAAGAAGCACCGGCUAACUCCGUGCCAGCAGCCGCGGUAAGUACGGAGGGUGCAAGCGUUAAUCGGAAUUACUGGGCGUAAAGCGCACGCAGGCGGUUUGUUAAGUCAGAUGUGAAAUCCCCGGGCUCAACCUGGGAACUGCAUUUGAAACUGGCAAGCUAGAGUCUCGUAGAGGGGGGUAGAAUUCCAGGUGUAGCGGUGAAAUGCGUAGAGAUCUGGAGGAAUACCGGUGGCGAAGGCGGCCCCCUGGACGAAGACUGACGCUCAGGUGCGAAAGCGUGGGGAGCAAACAGGAUUAGAUACCCUGGUAGUCCACGCUGUAAACGAUGUCGAUUUUGGAGGUUGUGCCCUUGAGGCGUGGCUUCCGGAGCUAACGCGUUAAAUCGACCGCCUGGGGAGUACGGCC